UACGAAGGGUGCAAGCGUUACUCGGAAUUACUGGGCGUAAAGCGUGCGUAGGCGGUUCGUUAAGUCCGUUGUGAAAGCCCUGGGCUCAACCUGGGAAUGGCAGUGGAUACUGGCGAGCUAGAGUGUGAUAGAGGAUGGUGGAAUUCCCGGUGUAGCGGUGAAAUGCGUAGAGAUCGGGGAGGAACACCAGUGGCGAAGGCGGCCAUCUGGAUCAACACUGACGCUGAGGCACGAAAGCGUGGGGAGCAAACAGG
This 254-nucleotide ribosomal RNA is filed under the name uncultured bacterium. RNAcentral's name for it is "partial 16S ribosomal RNA". It matches the Rfam family "Bacterial small subunit ribosomal RNA", at positions 524 to 776 of the family's 1533-position model. The record is from RNAcentral.